UGACAACUGUUUGACUUCAACCUGAAUAUCAGAACGAACACAACUCAAAGCUCUCUCAGCUGAUUCAGAUGAACAUCACAUCCACACUUGGAAACAUGAAGAAACUGGCUUUGAUGUGCUUCUUCUCAGCUCUCAUAUGUGACAGUCUGGAGGAUGGAAUCACUGCCAGCAGAGCUGAAGUCUUUUCAUCAGAGGAGCUCACAGUUACUCUGUCCUGUAAUUAUUCAGUCACAGCUAACAAUCUGCAGUGGUAUAGACAGGAUCCAGGAUCAGCUCCUCGAUUCCUCCUCCUGAUCACUGACACCAAAGAACCCAGUGUGGUGGAAGCAAAACCUCCAAACCCCAGACUGACUGCUGUCCUGAACCAGGAGAGGAACCAGGUCCAUCUGCAGAUCUCCUCUGCUGCAGUGACAGACUCUGCUGUGUACUACUGUGCUCUGCAGCCCACAGUGACAGGAAACAACACAACUCUGUACAAAAACCUGCAGAGAAAACACAAUACUGCACAACAUCCACUAGAGGGCGUCCCACACUGGGAAAGCACUGAUUGUUGAGACACUGGAUAAAUGACAAAGACUACAGAAAAAUUAAGCAGCAAAGAUCAGAGACAGAGCUGCUGUGGAAGAACUAAACUCUUUGAUUGGUUGAGCUGAAAAAGAGCUCAUUGGCCCCGCCCACUGAACUUCACAUCAUCCAGUGACAUUAUUUCUUCUUCAUUGUGCUGCAGUGGAAGAACAGAGUUCAUCUGCAGUCUGUGUGGCUUCCAGAACUCCAAAAACAUGUUGCUUUAACUAUUUUUGUUUCUAUCUCACAUUCUAGGUGAGUUUAAGAACAGAGAUUCAAGUUUUCUUGAAGCUGCUGCAUCAACUCAUCAUCUCUUUCAUCUAAUGUAAUGCAGGGGUGUCAAACUCAUUUUGGUUCAGGGGCCACAUUAAACCCGUCUGAUCCAAAGUGACCAGUAACAUAACAGCAAAAAACAGCUUUGUUCUUUUUUGUUUUUUUAUUGAGUUGGGAAAAAUGCCUCAAUCAACAUGAUAGCCUAAUCACUUAGUAUUACCCAUUCAUUCACAGAGGCCAUUGGAUUUUAAAUAAAAUGCAUUUCACUUCAAAAAAAUUGGUUUAUUCAAUUUUAUAACUACUGAAUAUUAUACAAUUGACAAUGAAGCAAUCCUGAUAGUAAACUCAAGAGGGGUUACGAAAAAUGAA
Non-coding RNA from Oryzias latipes (Japanese medaka), 1206 nucleotides. The record is from the annotation of a RefSeq genome assembly. NCBI's taxonomy places the organism in Eukaryota, Metazoa, Chordata, Actinopteri, Beloniformes, Adrianichthyidae.